RNAcentral lists this ribosomal RNA (468 nucleotides) under uncultured bacterium. RNAcentral's name for it is "partial 16S ribosomal RNA". It matches the Rfam family "Bacterial small subunit ribosomal RNA", at positions 28 to 507 of the family's 1533-position model. The record is from RNAcentral.
GACGAACGCUGGCGGCGUGCUUAACACAUGCAAGUCGAACGGAAAGGCCCUGCUUUUGUGGGGUGCUCGAGUGGCGAACGGGUGAGUAACACGCGAGUAACCUGCCCCUGACUUUGGGAUAACUUCAGGAAACUGGGGCUAUUACCGGAUAGGAUCUCCUGCUGCACGGGGGGGGUUGGUAAGUUUCGGCGGUUGGGGCUCGAAUCGCGGGUUAUCAGCUUGUUGGGGGGGUAGUGGCUUACGAAGGCUUUGACGGGUAGCCGACCUGGGAGGGUGAACGGGCACAUUGGGCCUGAGAGACGGCCCAGACGCCUACGGGAGGCAGCAGGCGGGAAUAUUGCGGAACGGGGGGAAGCGUGAGGUAGCAACCCCGCGUGCGGGAUAACGGCCUUCGGGUGGUAAACAGCUUUCGCCUGUGCCGAGGCGUGAGUGACGGUAAUGGGUAAAGAAGCACCGGCUAACUACGUG